RNAcentral lists this ribosomal RNA (960 nucleotides) under Salmonella enterica. Its description in RNAcentral is "partial 23S ribosomal RNA". It matches the Rfam family "Bacterial large subunit ribosomal RNA", at positions 711 to 1668 of the family's 2925-position model. The record is from RNAcentral. Lineage: Bacteria; Pseudomonadati; Pseudomonadota; Gammaproteobacteria; Enterobacterales; Enterobacteriaceae.
AGACCCGAAACCCGGUGAUCUAGCCAUGGGCAGGUUGAAGGUUGGGUAACACUAACUGGAGGACCGAACCGACUAAUGUUGAAAAAUUAGCGGAUGACCUGUGGCUGGGGGUGAAAGGCCAAUCAAACCGGGAGAUAGCUGGUUCUCCCCGAAAGCUAUUUAGGUAGCGCCUCGUGAAUUCAUCUCCGGGGGUAGAGCACUGUUUCGGCUAGGGGGCCAUCCCGGCUUACCAACCCGAUGCAAACUGCGAAUACCGGAGAAUGUUAUCACGGGAGACACACGGCGGGUGCUAACGUCCGUCGUGAAGAGGGAAACAACCCAGACCGCCAGCUAAGGUCCCAAAGUCAUGGUUAAGUGGGAAACGAUGUGGGAAGGCCCAGACAGCCAGGAUGUUGGCUUAGAAGCAGCCAUCAUUUAAAGAAAGCGUAAUAGCUCACUGGUCGAGUCGGCCUGCGCGGAAGAUGUAACGGGGCUAAACCAUGCACCGAAGCUGCGGCAGCGACGCUGAUGCGUUGUUGGGUAGGGGAGCGUUCUGUAAGCCUGUGAAGGUGGCCUGUGAGGGUUGCUGGAGGUAUCAGAAGUGCGAAUGCUGACAUAAGUAACGAUAAAGCGGGUGAAAAGCCCGCUCGCCGGAAGACCAAGGGUUCCUGUCCAACGUUAAUCGGGGCAGGGUGAGUCGACCCCUAAGGCGAGGCCGAAAGGCGUAGUCGAUGGGAAACGGGUUAAUAUUCCCGUACUUGGUGUUACUGCGAUGGGGGGACGGAGAAGGCUAUGUUGGCCGGGCGACGGUUGUCCCGGUUUAAGCGUGUAGGUGUGUGUUCCAGGUAAAUCCGGUUCACUUUAACACUGAGGCGUGAUGACGAGGCACUACGGUGCUGAAGCAACAAAUGCCCUGCUUCCAGGAAAAGCCUCUAAGCAUCAGGUAACAUCAAAUCGUACCCCAAACCGACACAGGUGGUC